UGACAGCCGGUUGGCCAGUUCCACGCUGUUCACGCCACAGCUGGGAGCCACGUUUCCUUUACAGCGGAUGUGGACAUUCAUCUUGCAGACUGGAGUGUGACACAGGCACACACGCAGACGCAGACACGCAGACGCAGACACGCAGAAACAGGUGUUAGAUUUCCAGCUGAACAAACCGAUACUAAAUGACUACACUCUUCACCAUGAUCCCUCUUGGUGUCCAUCAUCUGCAAUGGUACUGGCACCCCCCCCCCCCCCGGCCUUAC
Brienomyrus brachyistius is the source of this 266-nucleotide long non-coding RNA. RefSeq lists it as uncharacterized. The transcript is spliced from 2 exons. NCBI's taxonomy places the organism in Eukaryota, Metazoa, Chordata, Actinopteri, Osteoglossiformes, Mormyridae. The record is from RefSeq and is a predicted model, not a curated record.